AUUGAACGCUGGCGGAAUGCUUUACACAUGCAAGUCGAGCGGCAGCGCGGGGCAACCUGGCGGCGAGCGGCGAACGGGUGAGUAACACAUCGGAACGUGCCCAGACGUGGGGGAUAGCCCGGCGAAAGCCGGAUUAAUACCGCAUACGAUCUGAGGAUGAAAGCGGGGGAUCGCAAGACCUCGCGCGUUUGGAGCGGCCGAUGGCAGAUUAGGUAGUUGGUGGGGUAAAGGCUUACCAAGCCUGCGAUCUGUAGCUGGUCUGAGAGGAUGAUCAGCCACACUGGGACUGAGACACGGCCCAGACUCCUACGGGAGGCAGCAGUGGGGAAUUUUGGACAAUGGGCGCAAGCCUGAUCCAGCCAUUCCGCGUGCAGGACGAAGGCCUUCGGGUUGUAAACUGCUUUGUACGGAACGAAAGCCCUUCCUCUAAUACAGAGGGUCAGUGACGGUACCGUAAGAAUAAGACACCGGCUAACUACGUGCCAGCAGCCGG
Molecule: ribosomal RNA, 493 nt
Filed under: uncultured bacterium
Lineage: Bacteria
Description: bacterial SSU rRNA
Rfam family: Bacterial small subunit ribosomal RNA
Source: RNAcentral